UUUUCUUCUUCCUUUUCUUUUUUCCUUUUCUUCUUCCUUUUCUUCUUCCUUUUCUUCUUCCUUUUCUUCUUUUGUUUUUCCUUUUCUUCUUCCUUUUCUUCUUCCUUUUCUUUUUUCCUUUUCUUCUUCCUUUUCUUUUACCUUUUCUUAUUUUCUUUUUCCUUUUCUUAUUCUGUUUUUCCUUUUCUUAUUUUCUUUUUCCUUUUCUUAUUUUCUUUUUCCUUUUCUUAUUUUAUUUUCUUUUUCCUUUUCUUCUUCCUUUU
RNAcentral lists this long non-coding RNA (263 nucleotides) under Triticum aestivum (bread wheat). RNAcentral's name for it is "long non-coding RNA (TAES_LNC019147)". The record is from RNAcentral. Lineage: Eukaryota; Viridiplantae; Streptophyta; Magnoliopsida; Poales; Poaceae.